This 502-nucleotide ribosomal RNA is filed under the name uncultured Glomeromycotina. Its description in RNAcentral is "partial small subunit ribosomal RNA". It matches the Rfam family "Eukaryotic small subunit ribosomal RNA", at positions 591 to 1092 of the family's 1831-position model. The record is from RNAcentral. Lineage: Eukaryota; Fungi; Glomeromycota.
CCAAUAGCGUAUAUUAAAGUUGUUGCAGUUAAAAAGCUCGUAGUUGAACUUCGGAAUUUGCUCAUUGGUCAGGCUUAACUGUCUGUACUGGUAGGAUGAAUUCCUACCUUCUGAAGAAUCUUCAUGUCAUUAAUUUGGUGUGGGGAGGAAUCAGGACUGUUACUUUGAAAAAAUUAGAGUGUUUAAAGCAGGCUAACGUCUGAAUACAUUAGCAUGGAAUAAUAGAAUAGGACGGCUUGGUUCUAUUUUGUUGGUUUCUAGGAUCACCGUAAUGAUUAAUAGGGAUAGUUGGGGGCAUUAGUAUUCAAUUGUCAGAGGUGAAAUUCUUGGAUUUAUUGAAGACUAACUACUGCGAAAGCAUUUGCCAAGGAUGUUUUCAUUAAUCAAGAACGAAAGUUAGGGGAUCGAAGACGAUCAGAUACCGUCGUAGUCUUAACCAUAAACUAUGCCGACUAGGGAUCGGACGAAGUUAAUUUUAUAAUGACUCGUUCGGCACCUUACG